This is a small nuclear RNA of Otolemur garnettii (small-eared galago), 131 nucleotides long. Its record names the gene U4. It matches the Rfam family "U4 spliceosomal RNA". Rfam says of the family: U4 small nuclear RNA (U4 snRNA) is a component of the major U2-dependent spliceosome. The structure of U4 snRNA from yeast and human has been reported. The record is from Ensembl. NCBI's taxonomy places the organism in Eukaryota, Metazoa, Chordata, Mammalia, Primates, Galagidae.
AGCUUUGCGCAGUGGCAGUAUCGUAGCCAAUGAGGCGCGAUUAUUGCUAAUUGAAAACUUUUCCCAAUACCCCAUCCUGACAACUUGCAACAUAGUUUGGCACUGGCAAUUUUUGACAGUCUCUGCAGAGA